AUACUGGUUGAUUCUGCCAGAGGCUACUGCCAUCAGAGUUCGAUUAAGCCAUGUUAGUUAAGGGGACCUUCCUUCGGGGAGGUAACCCGGCAGACGGCUCAGUAACACGUGGACAAUUUACCCUUGGGACCGGGAUAACCCCUGGGAAACUGGGGCUAAUACUGGAUAGAGCAUCGGCUGCUGGAAUGCGCGAUGUUCGAAAGCUGAGGCGCCCAAGGAUAGGUCUGCGGCUGAUUAGGUUGUUGUUGAUGUAACGGGUCAACAAGCCCGCGAUCGGUACGGGUUGUGAGAGCAAUAGCCCGGAGAUGGGUUCUGAGAAAAGAACCCAGGUCCUACGGGACGCAUCAGGCGCGAAAACUUUACAAUGUGCGAAAGCGCGAUAAGGGAACUCUGAGUGCCUCCUAAGGAGGCUGUUCAGGUGUCUAAAAAGCAUCUGGAGUAAGGGCUGGGCAAGACCGGUGCCAGCCGCCGCGGUAACACCGGCAGCUCAAGUGGUAGCCAUGCUUAUUGGGUCUAAAGCGUCCGUAGCCGGCUGAGUAAGUUCCUUGGGAAAUUUGACCGCUUAACGGUUAAGCUAUCAGGGAAUACUGCUUGGCUUGGGACCGGGAGAGGUCAGAGGUACUCCAGGGGUAGGGGUGAAAUCUAUUAAUCCUUGGGGGACCACCGGUAGCGAAGGCGUCUGACCAGACCGGGUCCGACGGUGAGGGACGAAGGCUGGGGUCGCGAACCGGAUUAGAUACCCGGGUAGUCCCAGCUGUAAACGAUGCGGGCCAGGUGUUGGCAUUACUGCGAGUGAUGUCAGUGCCAAAGGGAAGCCGUUAAGCCCGCCAUCUGGGGAGUACGGUCGCAAGGCUGAAACUUAAAGGAAUUGGCGGGGGAGCAC
Molecule: ribosomal RNA, 883 nt
Filed under: uncultured archaeon
Lineage: Archaea
Description: bacterial SSU rRNA
Rfam family: Archaeal small subunit ribosomal RNA
Source: RNAcentral